Molecule: non-coding RNA, 424 nt
Organism: Danio rerio (zebrafish)
Lineage: Eukaryota; Metazoa; Chordata; Actinopteri; Cypriniformes; Danionidae
Source: Ensembl
GCACAACACUGAGAUGAAGGCAAAGUCACGAUGAAAAGUUAAACGUUUAACGUUAAGGUAAGCUCUGGUCUUCAUGAACUGAUGCUACCAAUCUCUCCUCACUUGAUUAUUCAAGCUCAGAUUGUGAUGGACCUGGAAUGUGACACCAGUUACUCUUAAGUCUAGAACCAAAUAAAGCACAGAUGUGGAGGGAUCUGCAACUAAACUAACUGGAGAAAAUUUUUUUUUUUCACAGUGUGGGUGAACAUACUACCUUGAUGUCCAACAAAGGCUGCACAAGAUCUCAUAUGAUGGCACAUAUUCUGUCCUGUCUACAUCUCUGACAACCUGGAAGUGCUUCGACAUCAACUAACAUCAAAGAGGUUGUAACAGUCCCUUUUCCACAACAUCAUUUGACCUUCAUCAUUUUCUGUCUUGUAGCAGU